RNAcentral lists this unclassified non-coding RNA (237 nucleotides) under Hevea brasiliensis (rubber tree). Lineage: Eukaryota; Viridiplantae; Streptophyta; Magnoliopsida; Malpighiales; Euphorbiaceae. The record is from RNAcentral.
GAAAAAAAUCUUGAACACAUGAAAGAAAAGAAAAUUUGUUAAGGGAAGGGAUGAUGCAUCUUUAGCAAAUAUUUGUAGGAGGAAAAUAGGCAGCAGAAUUACAAACCUUUUUAGUUUAUUAUAAUUAUUCAUGCUUCCCCAACUUCUUGUUUCUGUUGGAAUGGGUAGUCUAUAUCUUUCUUUGUUAUCUCAGCUGAGGGUAUUGGACAGCUUUCAUUAGGGAACGAUAUAUUCUGG